CCUUCGGGUGGCAGCAGUGGGGGAUAUUGCACAAUGGGGGAAACCCUGAUGCAGCGACGCCGCGUGUGGGCAGACGGUCCUCUGGAUUGUACCCCCCUUUCCCCCUGGCCGCCGCUGCCGGUCCCUGGGGAGGAAGCUCCGGCUAACUACGUGCCAGCAGCCGCGGUAAUACGUAGGGAGUGCGCGUUGUCCGGCAUUCCUGGGUGUCCCGGGCGCGUAGGCGGGGAUGCAAGUUGGGUGUCAAACCUACCGGCUCACCUGGUAGUCGAACUCAAAACUGCAGCUCUUGAGUGAAGUAGAGGCAGGCGGAAUUCCUAGUGUAGCGGUGAAAUGCGUAGAUAUUAGGAGGAACACCAGUGGCGAAGGCGGCCUGCUGGGCUUUUACUGACGCUGAGGCUCGAAAGUGUGGGGAGCAAACAGGAUUAGAUACCCGUGUAGUC
RNAcentral lists this ribosomal RNA (440 nucleotides) under uncultured bacterium. Its description in RNAcentral is "partial 16S ribosomal RNA". It matches the Rfam family "Bacterial small subunit ribosomal RNA", at positions 338 to 795 of the family's 1533-position model. The record is from RNAcentral.